RNAcentral lists this unclassified non-coding RNA (251 nucleotides) under uncultured fungus. RNAcentral's name for it is "partial contains small subunit ribosomal RNA, internal transcribed spacer 1, and 5.8S ribosomal RNA". The stretch from base 1 to 73 matches the Rfam family "Eukaryotic small subunit ribosomal RNA", at positions 1759 to 1831 of the family's 1831-position model. Lineage: Eukaryota; Fungi. The record is from RNAcentral.
GCAAACUUGGUCAUUUAGAGGAAGUAAAAGUCGUAACAAGGUCUCCGUAGGUGAACCUGCGGAGGGAUCAUUAACGAAUGGUCUCCGUACCUUCAAACACCUCAAAACCGGUGGACAUUUGAAAACGUGCUUCGGCGCAGUCGCGCCGUCUUUAUGCCGUAAAUCCGUCGUUCGUGUCUGAAUGCAAAUGAAAAAGAAUCAAAACUUUCAACAAAGGAUCUCUUGGCUCUCGCAUCGAUGAAGAACGCAGC